This 301-nucleotide ribosomal RNA is filed under the name uncultured bacterium. RNAcentral's name for it is "partial 16S ribosomal RNA". It matches the Rfam family "Bacterial small subunit ribosomal RNA", at positions 509 to 807 of the family's 1533-position model. The record is from RNAcentral.
CAGUAGCCGCGGUAAUACAGAGGGUGCGAGCGUUAAUCGGAUUUACUGGGCGUAAAGCGUGCGUAGGCGGCUUUUUAAGUCGGAUGUGAAAUCCCUGAGCUUAACUUAGGAAUUGCAUUCGAUACUGGGAAGCUAGAGUAUGGGAGAGGAUGGUAGAAUUCCAGGUGUAGCAGUGAAAUGCGUAGAGAUCUGGAGGAAUACCGAUGGCGAAGGCAGCCAUCUGGCCUAAUACUGACGCUGAGGUACGAAAGCAUGGGGAGCAAACAGGAUUAGAUACCCGUGUAGUCCCUGUCUCUUAUAC